AUGAAACCUUCUGCGUCGACUCCAAGUGCGCCUACUUCUACGGCUAUGGCGGGGGCUCCACCACGAGCGGCCUCCUCUCCACCGAGACAUUCACCUUCGCCGACGACGCCCCAGGCAGCCGCGGCGACCGCACGACGCGCGUGCCCGACGUCAACUUCGGCUGUGGCACGACCUUUGUCGGCUCCUUCAUCGGGGACGGCCUCGUCGGCCUCGGCAACACCAACCUCUCCCUCGUCACGCAGCUCGGCACGCACGCCUCGCUCGGCCGGAGGUUCUCCUACUGCCUCGUGCCCUACUCCGUCAACGGCUCCUCCCUGCUCAACUUCGGCGCCCGCGCCACCGUGA
RNAcentral lists this ribosomal RNA (345 nucleotides) under Triticum aestivum (bread wheat). RNAcentral describes it as "partial small subunit ribosomal RNA". Lineage: Eukaryota; Viridiplantae; Streptophyta; Magnoliopsida; Poales; Poaceae. The record is from RNAcentral.